CAUACAUACAGGGAGCACACAACAUUCAGCUUCCACAAAAGUAUUAACUUUGAUGCCAUUGUGUCAAUGAAUUUGAUUGGCCUUUGUUCAGUUCUUACCCUAAAUGUAGUUCUUCUCUCAAACCCUUCAAAACUUUCAUGAGCUGAUACCUCCAAUUUUAAAUAUUUUCUUUCAGGUAAAGCUGUUUUUUUUCAAGCAGUGUUUUCCAGCCUCAAGCAAAUAGGUGACAUCAGAGGUAGGAUGAUGUCCUCAAGAGAGGAAAUUAGUGGAUCUCUCAAGUAUUACAUGCCCUCAGUAUAGGACCAGUUCAGUGCUCUCUGAUGGCAGCUCUUCAGCAACUGUGACACUCCUACCCCAGAUCUGGAAAGAUACCCCAUUUACAAUAUGUAUCUGGAAAAAUGAACAUGGAGAGUUUAGUUCAGCAUACGUUAGAGAUAUGUUCUGCGUCUGUAUAAUAUAUGUAUAACUAUAAUAUUGUAGUUAGCAAACAGCUUUCUUAAAACUGAUAAGGCUGUUAAAAACUUCUAACUCUUUUUGGAGGAUCCUCUGAACUAGUUAGAAUACCUUAAAGGGACUGGAAUAAUGAAAAUUCUUCCUUUACAGUAUUUCUACAGACAUGUAGUGCAUGGAUAUACACAUGAAUCCAAGUGCUUUACUAAAAUAGGUGAUCCUGCUCUAGCCAGGGGGAGUUGGACUAGAUGAUCUUCAGAAGUCCCUGCCAACCCUGAUGACUGUGAUAGUCAAGGAGAAGUCUCUAAAAAUAAGGACAAUCUGAAACUCAACAGGACAAGGAGAGAGGGAGAAUCUGAACCUCAUAUUUCCUGCAUAUCUUGAGGAUUGUUCCAAUGCUGGAACUCCAUGCCCUGGAGAAACUGAAGAGAGUGACCCUGCAGAUGUACGCUGGUGUCCUUGCCAA
Long non-coding RNA from Apus apus (common swift), 916 nucleotides. RefSeq lists it as uncharacterized. The transcript is spliced from 3 exons. The record is from RefSeq and is a predicted model, not a curated record. Lineage: Eukaryota; Metazoa; Chordata; Aves; Apodiformes; Apodidae.